Molecule: ribosomal RNA, 513 nt
Filed under: uncultured bacterium
Lineage: Bacteria
Description: partial 16S ribosomal RNA
Rfam family: Bacterial small subunit ribosomal RNA
Source: RNAcentral
AACGAACGCUGGCGGCAUGCCUAAUACAUGCAAGUCGAGCGAACAGAUGAAGUGCUUGCACUUCUGACGUUAGUGGCGAACGGGUGAGUAACACGUAAGGAACCUACCUAUAAGCGGGGGAUAACAUUCGGAAACGGGUGCUAAUACCGCAUAAUAUCUUCUUCCGCAUGGAAGAAGAUUGAAAGACGGCUCUGCUGUCACUUAUAGAUGACCUUGCGGUGCAUUAGUUAGUUGGUGGGGUAAUGGCCUACCAAGACAAUGAUGCAUAGCCGACCUGAGAGGGUGAUCGGCCACAUUGGGACUGAGACACGGCCCAAACUCCUACGGGAGGCAGCAGUAGGGAAUCUUCCGCAAUGGGCGAAAGCCUGACGGAGCAAUGCCGCGUGAGUGAAGAAGGCCUUCGGGUCGUAAAACUCUGUUAUAAGAGAAGAACAAAUUGUAGAGUGACUGCUACAGUCUUGACGGUAUCUUAUCAGAAAGCCACGGCUAACUACGUGCCAGCAGCCGCAGUAA